CACUUCAAUGAGUAAUCCAACCAUAUUGUUUCAGUUAUGCAAGAUGCUUUAAUUUCAUAUUUGAUUUCAGUUAGAAGAAAUAAGGCUAAAUAUGUUUACAUUAUGACGUAUUCCCGUAUAUUACAGUUUGUCUUUUUAUAUUAUAUUAUAAUAUUUUAGUUUGUCUCUUUGGGAAGAAAGCUUCAGUAACUUAAAGUUAAUGUUUUACAAUGUUUCAUUUUAUUACAUUUGUCUAUAAACUAAUGCCCAAAUAUAAACAUUGAGAAGCACUUUAAGAGGGAUACAUGUAAAAACCUUCUAACUUGGCAAAAGUCAUCAUCACAGAGUAAAAAUACAAAUACUGUCCAAGUCCUCUGUGAUUGAUAAACGUCUAAAUGUGUUUGUUUUCACCCAAAAGAGGGCGUUCAUCUCUUUUCUGUAUCCCUCAUGCACACAAUGAGCUCAAGACUCGUCCUGGAAGGUGAAAUUUUGCCACAGGGUGGAGCUCCAGACUUAAAUCACAGUGUUUCAGUCAAGAAAAGGAACAUUUAAGUCAUUUCAUUCCAUCAUGCUGCUCUGUGCACUUGUGAUAUUUUCAGUACUUGCAGGAGUCUCUCUUGGUGAUCUAAUAACUUCGCAUGAUUCUGAAAAACAAGCUCAAGAUGGUAACAGUGUUGCUCUCUACUGCAACUACACUGGUUCUGUGUAUAAUCUGCUGUGGUAUCGUCAGUAUCAAAGAUCCAAACCAGAACUGCUUCUCUACAUGACUGAAUCUGGAGAUCCAGUUAAAGCCGAUCCAUCAGCACACUGGUUAUCAGCUACAGUUGACAAAAAUAGAAAGCUCAUGGAACUGAAAAUCAGCCCUGCUAAAGUAUCAGACUCUGCACAGUAUUACUGUGCCCUGGUGCCCACAGUGACAGGAAACCCUUUUCCUCUGCACAAAAUCUUUUUCCAUCAGUAA
This is a non-coding RNA of Cyprinus carpio (common carp), 940 nucleotides long. The record is from the annotation of a RefSeq genome assembly. NCBI's taxonomy places the organism in Eukaryota, Metazoa, Chordata, Actinopteri, Cypriniformes, Cyprinidae.